RNAcentral lists this ribosomal RNA (434 nucleotides) under uncultured bacterium. RNAcentral's name for it is "partial 16S ribosomal RNA". It matches the Rfam family "Bacterial small subunit ribosomal RNA", at positions 29 to 507 of the family's 1533-position model. The record is from RNAcentral.
AGCGAACGCUGGCGGCAGGCCUAACACAUGCAAGUCGAACGAACCUUUCGGGGUUAGUGGCGGACGGGUGAGUAACACGUGGGAACGUGCCUUUAGGUUCGGAAUAACUCAGGGAAACUGGUGCUAAAACCGAUUGUGCCCUUCGGGGGAAAGAUUAAUCGCCUUUAGAGCGGCCCGCGUCUGAUUAGCUAGUUGGUUGAGGUAAUGGCUCACCAAGGCGACGAUCAGUAGCUGGUCUGAGAGGAUGAUCAGCCACAUUGGGACUGAGACACGGCCCAAACUCCUACGGGAGGCAGCAGUGGGGAAUCUUGCGCAAUGGGCGAAAGCCUGACGCAGCCAUGCCGCGUGAAUGAUGAAGGUCUUAGGAUUGUAAAAUUCUUUCACCGGGGACGAUAAUGACGGUACCCGGAGAAGAAGCCCCGGCUAACUUCGUG